GAGGAAUAUUGGUCAAUGGAGGCAACUCUGAACCAGCCAUGCCGCGUGAAGGAUGAAGGUCCUCUGGAUUGUAAACUUCUUUUAUAGAAGAAGAAACCCCGGAUUUCUAUCUGGGUUGACGGUACUCUAUGAAUAAGCACCGGCUAACUCCGUGCCAGCAGCCGCGGUAAUACGGAGGGUGCAAGCGUUAUCCGGAUUCACUGGGUUUAAAGGGAGCGUAGGUGGGCUUGUAAGUCAUCGUUGAAAUCCCCGAGCUUAACUUGGGAACUGCCAUUGAUACUACAAGUCUUGAAUUCUGUGGAGGUAAGCGGAAUAUAUCAUGUAGCGGUGAAAUGCUUAGAUAUGAUAUAGAACACCGAUAGCGAAGGCAGCUUACUACGCAGAUAUUGACACUGAGGCUCGAAAGCGUGGGGAUCAAAC
RNAcentral lists this ribosomal RNA (420 nucleotides) under uncultured bacterium. RNAcentral's name for it is "bacterial SSU rRNA". It matches the Rfam family "Bacterial small subunit ribosomal RNA", at positions 356 to 773 of the family's 1533-position model. The record is from RNAcentral.